This is a long non-coding RNA of Ostrea edulis (European flat oyster), 369 nucleotides long. RefSeq lists it as uncharacterized. The transcript is spliced from 4 exons. NCBI's taxonomy places the organism in Eukaryota, Metazoa, Mollusca, Bivalvia, Ostreida, Ostreidae. The record is from RefSeq and is a predicted model, not a curated record.
ACAGACAUCCACUUGAAUAUAGGAUCUGCCUGUCCACCAGGAUAAACCUUGUGAUUCUGAGCGGGCGACCACCAUACCCUCUCACAUACACAUGUACAACCACUGCCGAUCAUGGGGAUCAAGCUCGGGUCGCAGCAGUGAGAAGCUUAAGAAAAUCAGGGUCGGGGAUCAAAAAUAGGUUUAAGAACUUGAUACUGUGUAGAAUCCACAAUGCAGAACUAAAUCUGUAAACCAGGAACGCGGACCUCGCUCCGCACUGGAUGGUUCCGCUCCAGUGCCCCUCCAGCAGACAUGGCUCGCCGACUCAUUUCCAACUUCAGGUCCAAUUUGUCUUUUAGAACUGAGGACAUGGGUCUUGGUGUUGUGUUC